Molecule: RNA transcript, 1630 nt
Organism: Macrobrachium nipponense
Lineage: Eukaryota; Metazoa; Arthropoda; Malacostraca; Decapoda; Palaemonidae
Gene name: CD151 antigen-like
Exons: 8
Source: RefSeq, a predicted model, not a curated record
CUCAGUACUUAACGGACAGUUGCAGUGUGAAGGUCGGUCUCCGUCCAGCUGCGUGGUUCCUGGUGGUGUACGUAGAAUUCUCAAAUCCCUGACUUAAAAAGAAUUUUACUGUAAACUUCAAAAUUGGACUUCAACACAUCUGAGACCGUAAUUGAAUUGACACGAUGCAGGAGAACAUGAUCAAAACCAUUCUGCUCGCCACCAACCUCUGCCUGUGGGCAUCUGGAUGGGCUGUGCUGGCCGUGGGCGUGCAUCUGAUGUCUGGAGAGAACGGACGCCAUUAUGCCAUCAUGUUGCUCGGGAAGACACAUCCAGGGACGGACGACGUGCCGCCUCCGUUUGCCGAACUCGAGGGGGGUCGGGGAGGAGGAUCAACACUCGGGGACUACAACGCGGCUUCGGCAGAACCUCCGGGUCAUACCAAGACGCCCCUCAGCAGACCUACUCCCAGGAACUCGUCGUCUCCCGCUGACCUCAGCUUCGAAGAGAUGGCCGACGCAACCGAAUCCAUGGACGUCAAACUAGAGGCUACGCUCCUGGUUUUGGGGUCCGUGGUCGUCAUGGCGGGUCUCGUGGGAUGCAUAGCUGCCUCGCAGAACGACAGGACUCUGCUGCUAGCGUACUGCUUACUGCUGAUAGUCGUUGGCCUAGGGGACGGAGGAGCAGGAAUAUGGUGCUUCUGCAGUGCGUCCCACAACCUGGGCGAGGUCUCCAUCCCGUCAGGAACUCCUCUUGCCGUUUCUUCGUCCUCGCCCUUGUCGUCAGCAAGUGUGGACGACCCUUUGCAGAGGUUUCACCAGUGGUACGGCUCUGCCGACCACAUCACCUACACAGAAGCCCUCAACUCAGUUCAGGAGCAGAGCUGAAUGAUCUCAUAGGUCCCAGUGCUUGGUCUUUGGCCUAAAUUCUAUAUUCCAUUCCAUUCAAUAUGCUCUCUCACCAAAAGGAAUCCAGUUCAUGUAUGAAGUAAUGAAGACAGUGCUCAGGACUUUAUAUUUACUCCACUGCAGUAGUACCUUCUUUCUUCAGUUUUGCUGUCAACCGCUCCAACGCCCUCUUUUCGCUGUCAUAGGCGCUGAAGUGCCCUAGUGCAUGACUUUAUAGCCUGAUUUUCAUAUAUCAAACUCAACUCAGUUUCUCUGAAAAGGUCACAAUGUUGGCAUAACGAAACACCAGUUUAAUUUGCAAAUUUGAGUGCUUUGUUCAAAUUGCCCAGUAACUCCAAAUAUUGACGUAUGAAUAGAGGAAAGUAUGGAUAAGAACAGAUAGCGACGAAUUAUAAAUAUAACUUGUAAUGGAAUUCAAUUAUAAACGUCCAAAGAAUUUUUAUAAUUUAUACCAAUGUCACUAGAGAAAAGAGAAAAAUAUUUCUCAGCCUCUGUCAAAGUAAUGAGGAUUAUAUGAGUCUGUGAUUUCUUGACUCCCGUGUUGCCAUGACGACAUCUCCCAAAUGGCCAACGCUGUUUGUAUUUUCCUUCCAGCUCGCGUGUUGUGGGAUGACAGGACCUAAUGAUUACGUCACGAGCUACUGGCAUCAUGUUUACUCCCCAGGGAAGACCGUACUUCCACCGUCAUGCUGUUUUCGGAAUCUGUCCUCCUCCGCAGCUUCUUCCUUCGCAGACGUCCAAUG